AGUGAGAUAGCUGGGUCAUAUGGUGGUUCCCUCCUUAGUUUUUUGAGGAAUCUCCAUACUGCUUUCCAGAGUGGUUGUACUAGUCUGCAGUCCCACCAACAGU
This 103-nucleotide microRNA precursor is filed under the name Marmota monax (woodchuck). Lineage: Eukaryota; Metazoa; Chordata; Mammalia; Rodentia; Sciuridae. The record is from RNAcentral.